AGAUUGAACGCUGGCGGCAUGCCUAACACAUGCAAGUCGAACGGGAGUAGCAAUACUCUAGUGGCGGACGGGUGAGGAAUACGUAGGAAUUUGCCCUUAAGUGGGGGAUAACCCGGGGAAACCCGGAUUAAUACCGCAUGACCUCGAAAGAGCAAAGUGGGGGAUCGCAAGACCUCACGCUUUUGGAGAAGCCUACGUCGGAUUAGCUAGUUGGUGAGGUAAUGGCUCACCAAGGCGACGAUCCGUAACUGGUCUGAGAGGAUGAUCAGUCACACCGGAACUGAGACACGGUCCGGACUCCGUACGGGAGGCAGCAGG
This 318-nucleotide ribosomal RNA is filed under the name uncultured soil bacterium. RNAcentral's name for it is "bacterial SSU rRNA". It matches the Rfam family "Bacterial small subunit ribosomal RNA", at positions 26 to 355 of the family's 1533-position model. The record is from RNAcentral.